GUGUCAGCCGCCGCGGUAACACGGGGGGAGCAAGCGUUGUUCGGAAUCACUGGGCGUAAAGGGCGUGUAGGCGGUCAAGUAAGUGGGAUGUGAAAUGCCCCGGCUCACCCGGGGACCUGCAUCCCAAACUGCUUGGCUCGAGUAUGGGAGAGGAUGAGGGAAUUCCUGGUGUAGCGGUGAAAUGCGUAGAUAUCAGGAGGAACACCGGUGGCGAAAGCGCUCAUCUGGCCCAAUACUGACGCUGAGGCGCGAAAGCUAGGGGAGCAAACGGGAUUAGAAACCCUCGUAGUCC
Molecule: ribosomal RNA, 292 nt
Filed under: uncultured bacterium
Lineage: Bacteria
Description: partial 16S ribosomal RNA
Rfam family: Bacterial small subunit ribosomal RNA
Source: RNAcentral